Gallus gallus (chicken) is the source of this 1590-nucleotide long non-coding RNA. Lineage: Eukaryota; Metazoa; Chordata; Aves; Galliformes; Phasianidae. The record is from Ensembl.
AGCCUGUAGAAAAGGCAGCUCCAAGGAGACCUUAUAGUGGCCUUCCAGUACUUAAAGCAUUGUCUUAACAGAAGAACAAAAGGAAACGUUCAAAUACAUACCCUGGGUGAACCUAACAGGAUGCAAGAGGCCAUCUGAGCUGCACUCUUCAAACCCACAGGAAACCCUCCUCUACUAUGUCCCGAGAACAAAGCCUCCUCCAGUCAUGUUGAUAAGAUGGAUCUUGUUGUACAGCCUUCUAGUAAGGCUGGCUCAGAGCAACAAUCAAGAUUCUGAAAAGUCUGAAAACAUCACCACACCUUCAUCAAAAAUUUUAGAUGCCUCUACUAAGUCAAAAGAACAUGGAAAACACAAGACAUUGCACAUUAUUUAUGCUUCAGUACCCGUGGGUCUAUGUUGUCCAUUCAUCUUCAUAUGCGUGUUUUGGAGUCUAAGGAGGUACUAUGGAAAGCGUAAGAGAACUCCAUCAGCACCACAGAGACAAGAGAGCCGGGUCAGAAGGCUAUCAGCUCUUCCAUCCCACGCUGAUGGGACAACUCCAGAUACAGAUGAAAGCUCCUCACUUUACUGUUCCAUGUCUAGCCCACCUCAGCUCUUGCCUGUCAACAAGAUUUAUGACAGUGUUCCUCAACGUAAUGCUCAGGAGACAGCAUCUAACUCACCUUCUAAUGAUCCUUCCAUCCCAGCUUCACUUGAAAGCCAAGAUGUCCUCAUAUAUGCCUCACUAAACCAUUCUGCUUCUACAAAUAAAUACCAGAGAAGGAAGUUCUCUAUAGAAAAUGAAUUUAUAGAAUAUGCCUCUAUUAAGGUAAAUAAAUAAAUACGGCAGACUUCACCAAACAGCCAUUUUGUGUGUAUUCUCAGGUUUAUCUUCCAUCCAGAAUACCUUUCCUUUCUCUCCCGGGAAAGCUUUCCUUUUGUUUAGAAGAACCUGUGGAUGCUCCCCCACUACAGACAGGAAUUCAAAACACAGCCUGUGUCAUGCAGAUGGGUGGGUAAUUGCACUGGAUAUUCGUCUCUUAAAUGGAGGAAUAAAAGGAAACACAGACAGCUUUCCUGUUCUUCCUCUGCCCAGGAUUCUGCUUCCAGUCUGACCUUUUGUUGUGGUUUAAACAGAGGCAAAGGGGAGGAGAAGGGAGGGCAUUCUCAGGUCAUAAACAUAUAAAAGGAAUCCAUGAGGAAGACGAUACUGAGCCAAAUUAAUUCCUCCAAAGUAUAAAUAUGCUAAAUAUAAACAUACUAAAUAUGCCCGGGGGAGAAAUUUUCUCUGAGGUUCUAAGAACACCCGUACCAGGAUUCCGUUUCUCAUUCCAGUUCAUCUCCUUGCAGAGUUCCUUGAACACCAUGAACGCACAAUCCUCGUAUUAACUAAAAUUAUGUAAAUACUUUCAUUUGUUUGCUUCUUGUGGGGAACAGGCAAGAAAAUGGAAAAGGUUGUUUUCCUUUUAUUAAGAAGUCACACAAAUAACGUGUGAGAGUGUUCUCUUUUUUCCUCCUGGUGUGAUGACCGGUUAGCUAAGUUAAUGCAUAUUCCUUUUGUCCAUGAUGAGUCCAUGGAAAUAACAAAUGCUGAGCAGUGACUGAUCACAG